UUUCCUCAAAAUUUUUUUUUCCUCAUUUUUUUUUCCUCAAAUUUUUUUUUUCCUCAAAAAGUUUUUUUUCAUUUCCUUAUUCGUUUUCUUUUUCCUUUUUCGAUUAUCAUCCUUAUUCGAUUUCCAUUUCCUUAUUCGAUUUUCAUUUCCUUAUUCGAUUUUCUUUUCCCUAUUCGGUUUCUUCUUCUUCCUUUCAAUAUUCAUUUCCUUUUUCGGUUUCUAUUUCCUUAUUCGGUUUCUAUUUCCUUAUUGGAUUUUCAUUUCCUUAUUCGAUUUCCAUUUCCUUAUUCAAUUUUCAUUUCCUUAUUCGGUUUCUUUUUUUCCUUUUCAAUAUUCAUUUCCUUAUUCGGUUUCUAUUUCCUUAUUCAGUUUCUAUUUCCUUAUUGGAUUUUCAUUUCCUUAUUCGAUUUCCAUUUCCUUAUUCGAUUUUCAUUUCCUUAUUCGGUUUCUUUUUCCUUUUUCAAUAUUCAUUUCCUUUUUCGGUUUCUAUUUCCUUAUUCGGUUUCUAUUUCCU
RNAcentral lists this long non-coding RNA (514 nucleotides) under Mytilus galloprovincialis (Mediterranean mussel). Lineage: Eukaryota; Metazoa; Mollusca; Bivalvia; Mytilida; Mytilidae. The record is from RNAcentral.